GUUUGAUCCUGGCUCAGGACGAACGCUGGCGGCGUGCUUAACACAUGCAAGUCGAACGGAAAGGCCCUGCUUGCAGGGUACUCGAGUGGCGAACGGGUGAGUAACACGUGGGUGAUCUGCCCUGCACUUCGGGAUAAGCCUGGGAAACUGGGUCUAAUACCGGAUAGGAGCCAUUUUUAGUGUGAUGGUUGGAAAGUUUUUUCGGUGUAGGAUGAGCUCGCGGCCUAUCAGCUUGUUGGUGGGGUAAUGGCCUACCAAGGCGACGACGGGUAGCCGGCCUGAGAGGGUGACCGGCCACACUGGGACUGAGACACGGCCCAGACUCCUACGUGAGGCAGCAGUGGGGAAUCUUAGACAAUCGGCGAAAGCCUGAUCUAGCGAUGCCGCGUGAGUGA
RNAcentral lists this ribosomal RNA (395 nucleotides) under Chaetoceros curvisetus. RNAcentral describes it as "partial Bacterial small subunit ribosomal RNA". It matches the Rfam family "Bacterial small subunit ribosomal RNA", at positions 11 to 408 of the family's 1533-position model. The record is from RNAcentral. Lineage: Eukaryota; Bacillariophyta; Thalassiosirophyceae; Chaetocerotales; Chaetocerotaceae.